AUUGAACGCUGGCGGCAUGCCUUACACAUGCAAGUCGAACGGCAGCGCGGGGCAACCUGGCGGCGAGUGGCGAACGGGUGAGUAAUAUAUCGGAACGUGCCCUGGAGUGGGGAUAACGUAGCGAAAGUUACGCUAAUACCGCAUACGAUCUGAGGAUGAAAGCAGGGGACCUUCGGGCCUUGUGCUCCUGGAGCGGCCGAUAUCUGAUUAGCUAGUUGGUGGGGUAAAAGCCUACCAAGGCGACGAUCAGUAGCUGGUCUGAGAGGACGACCAGCCACACUGGAACUGAGACACGGUCCAGACUCCUACGGGAGGCAGCAGUGGGGAAUUUUGGACAAUGGGGGCAACCCUGAUCCAGCAAUGCCGCGUGUGUGAAGAAGGCCUUCGGGUUGUAAG
RNAcentral lists this ribosomal RNA (396 nucleotides) under uncultured bacterium. RNAcentral's name for it is "bacterial SSU rRNA". It matches the Rfam family "Bacterial small subunit ribosomal RNA", at positions 30 to 429 of the family's 1533-position model. The record is from RNAcentral.